This 2919-nucleotide ribosomal RNA is filed under the name Acinetobacter baumannii. Its description in RNAcentral is "bacterial LSU rRNA". It matches the Rfam family "Bacterial large subunit ribosomal RNA". The record is from RNAcentral. Lineage: Bacteria; Pseudomonadati; Pseudomonadota; Gammaproteobacteria; Moraxellales; Moraxellaceae.
GUUGUAUAGUCAAGUAAUUAAGUGCAUGUGGUGGAUGCCUUGGCAGUCAGAGGCGAUGAAAGACGUGAUAGCCUGCGAAAAGCUCCGGGGAGGCGGCAAAUAUCCUUUGAUCCGGAGAUGUCUGAAUGGGGGAACCCACCUACUUUAAGGUAGGUAUUGCAACAUGAAUACAUAGUGUUGCAAGGCGAACGAGGGGAAGUGAAACAUCUCAGUACCCUUAGGAAAAGAAAUCAAUUGAGAUUCCCUCAGUAGCGGCGAGCGAACGGGGAUCAGCCCAUUAAGUUAUGUGUGUUUUAGUGGAACGCUCUGGGAAGUGCGAACGUAGAGGGUGAUAUUCCCGUACACGAAAGGGCACACAUAAUGAUGACGAGUAGGGCGAGGCACGUGAAACCUUGUCUGAAUAUGGGGGGACCAUCCUCCAAGGCUAAAUACUCCUGACUGACCGAUAGUGAACCAGUACCGUGAGGGAAAGGCGAAAAGAACCCCUGUGAGGGGAGUGAAAUAGAUCCUGAAACCGCAUGCAUACAAGCAGUGGGAGCACCUUCGUGGUGUGACUGCGUACCUUUUGUAUAAUGGGUCAGCGACUUAUAUUCAGUAGCGAGGUUAACCGUAUAGGGGAGCCGUAGAGAAAUCGAGUCUUAAUAGGGCGUUUAGUUGCUGGGUAUAGACCCGAAACCAGGCGAUCUAUCCAUGAGCAGGUUGAAGGUUGGGUAACACUAACUGGAGGACCGAACCCACUGUCGUUGAAAAGCCAGGGGAUGACUUGUGGAUAGGGGUGAAAGGCUAAUCAAGCCUGGUGAUAGCUGGUUCUCCCCGAAAGCUAUUUAGGUAGCGCCUCGGACGAAUACCAUAGGGGGUUAGAGCACUGUUUCGGCUAGGGGGUCAUCCCGACUUACCAAACCGAUGCAAACUCCGAAUACCUAUGAGUACUAUCCGGGAGACAGACUGCGGGUGCUAACGUCCGUAGUCAAGAGGAAAACAAUCCAGACCGCCAGCUAAGGCCCCAAAAUCAUAGUUAAGUGGGAAACGAUGUGGGAAGGCAUAGACAGCUAGGAGGUUGGCUUAGAAGCAGCCACCCUUUAAAGAAAGCGUAAUAGCUCACUAGUCGAGUCGGCCUGCGCGGAAGAUGUAACGGGGCUAAAACUAUGUGCCGAAGCUGCGGAUGUAUACUUUGUAUACGUGGUAGGGGAGCGUUCUGUAAGCCGAUGAAGGUGUGUUGAGAAGCAUGCUGGAGGUAUCAGAAGUGCGAAUGCUGACGUGAGUAACGACAAAACGGGUGAAAAACCCGUUCGCCGAAAGACCAAGGGUUCCAGUCCAACGUUAAUCGGGGCUGGGUGAGUCGACCCCUAAGGCGAGGCCGAAAGGCGUAGUCGAUGGGAAAAUGGUUAAUAUUCCAUUACUUCUGUGUAAUGCGAUGAGAGGACGGAGAAGGCUAAAUCAGCCUGGCGUUGGUUGUCCAGGUGAAAGGAUGUAGGCAUGUAUCUUAGGCAAAUCCGGGGUACUCUAUGCUGAGAUCUGAUAGCAAGCUGUACUUGUACAGCGAAGUGGUUGAUGCCAUGCUUCCAGGAAAAGUCUCUAAGCUUCAGUUACACAGGAAUCGUACCCGAAACCGACACAGGUGGUCAGGUCGAGUAGACCAAGGCGCUUGAGAGAACUCUGCUGAAGGAACUAGGCAAAAUGGUACCGUAACUUCGGGAGAAGGUACGCUGUUGUUGGUGAUGGAACUCGCUUCCUGAGCUGACGACAGCCGCAGAAACCAGGCCGCUGCAACUGUUUAUUAAAAACAUAGCACUCUGCAAACACGAAAGUGGACGUAUAGGGUGUGAUGCCUGCCCGGUGCUGGAAGGUUAAUUGAUGGGGUUAGCGUAAGCGAAGCUCUUGAUCGAAGCCCCAGUAAACGGCGGCCGUAACUAUAACGGUCCUAAGGUAGCGAAAUUCCUUGUCGGGUAAGUUCCGACCUGCACGAAUGGCAUAAUGAUGGCGGCGCUGUCUCCAGCAGAGGCUCAGUGAAAUCGAAAUCGCUGUGAAGAUGCAGUGUACCCGCGGCUAGACGGAAAGACCCCGUGAACCUUUACUGCAGCUUGACACUGAACUUUGACCUUACUUGUGUAGGAUAGGUGGGAGGCUUUGAAGCUGGAACGCUACUUCCAGUGGAGCCGUCCUUGAAAUACCACCCUGGUAAUGUUGAGGUUCUAACUCUGUCCCGUGAUCCGGGACGAGGACCGUGUCUGGUGGGUAGUUUGACUGGGGCGGUCUCCUCCUAAAGAGUAACGGAGGAGUACGAAGGUGCGCUCAGCGUGGUCGGAAAUCACGCGUAGAGUAUAAAGGCAAAAGCGCGCUUAACUGCGAGACCCACAAGUCGAGCAGGUACGAAAGUAGGUCUUAGUGAUCCGGUGGUUCUGUAUGGAAGGGCCAUCGCUCAACGGAUAAAAGGUACUCUGGGGAUAACAGGCUGAUACCGCCCAAGAGUUCAUAUCGACGGCGGUGUUUGGCACCUCGAUGUCGGCUCAUCUCAUCCUGGGGCUGAAGCAGGUCCCAAGGGUAUGGCUGUUCGCCAUUUAAAGAGGUACGCGAGCUGGGUUUAGAACGUCGUGAGACAGUUCGGUCCCUAUCUACCGUGGGCGCUGGAAAUUUGAGAGGAUCUGCUCCUAGUACGAGAGGACCAGAGUGGACGAACCUCUGGUGUACCGGUUGUGACGCCAGUCGCAUCGCCGGGUAGCUAUGUUCGGAAGGGAUAACCGCUGAAAGCAUCUAAGCGGGAAGCCUACCUCAAGAUAAGAUUUCCCUAGGACUUUAUGUCCUCUAAAGAGCCGUUCGAGACUAGGACGUUGAUAGGUUGGAUGUGGAAGCAUAGUGAUAUGUGAAGCUGACCAAUACUAAUUGCUCGUGAGGCUUGACUAUACAACACCCAAGCAGUUG